Molecule: RNA transcript, 6882 nt
Organism: Chiroxiphia lanceolata (lance-tailed manakin)
Lineage: Eukaryota; Metazoa; Chordata; Aves; Passeriformes; Pipridae
Gene: HCN4
Gene name: hyperpolarization activated cyclic nucleotide gated potassium channel 4
Exons: 11
Source: RefSeq, a predicted model, not a curated record
UGGUCCCCUCUGCCCCUUGAGCUGGGGGCAGGGGCCUGGGGGCAGUGCCGGUUCCCUUCCUUGGGCAGAGCGGGGGUCUCUCCCUCUCACUGAGCAGCAGCAGCAGCAGCAUCGGCCAUGGACAAGCUGCCCCCCUCCAUGCGCAAGAGGCUCUACAGCCUGCCCCAGCAGAUCGGACCCAAGGCGUCGAUCAUGGACGAGGAGGAUGACAGCGACAAGGACACCCGGAGGAAAAGCAUCAGGCUGAAGCCACUGCCUUCGCCCUCUGCUGGGAGCACCCGGGCCCUCGGGGGGGACCCCGGCAGAGGGGGGGACCCCGGCCUCCUGGAGACGGAGGCCGGCGGCAAGGGCGCCAAGACCAGCACCAACGGGGACUGCCGCCGCUUCAAAGGGAGCCUGUCCUCGCUGACCAGCAGGCACCUCCACGACGCGGCCGAGGAGAAGAGGCUGAUCGGCGGCGAAGGGGAGCCGGCCUCCCCCAGCGAGGACAAGAGCCCCCCCGGCAGUGGGGAGCUGGAGCAGGGGCUGCCGGCGCCCCCACCGCCCGCGUCCCCCCCGGAGCCUCAGCAGCCCCCCCGGGCCUGCUCCUCCACUUCCAUCAAAGUGGAAGGAGGUGGAGGGUGCGACCAGAUCACCCCAGAUGAGGAGCAGAGGCUGGGCCAAGCCGGUUUCAUGCAGAGGCAGUUCGGGGCCAUGCUCCAGCCGGGGGUCAACAAAUUCUCCUUGAGGAUGUUUGGCAGCCAGAAGGCCGUGGAGAGGGAGCAGGAGAGGGUUAAGUCUGCCGGGUUCUGGAUCAUCCACCCCUACAGCGACUUCAGGUUUUACUGGGAUUUGACCAUGCUGCUCCUGAUGGUAGGGAACCUGAUCAUCAUCCCUGUGGGCAUCACUUUCUUCAAGGAUGAAAACACUACCCCAUGGAUUGUCUUCAAUGUGGUUUCGGACACGUUCUUCCUCAUCGACCUUGUCCUCAACUUCCGAACAGGCAUCGUGGUGGAGGACAACACCGAGAUCAUCCUGGACCCACAGAGGAUCAAGAUGAAGUACCUCAAGAGCUGGUUUGUGGUGGAUUUUAUCUCCUCCAUCCCCGUGGACUAUAUCUUCCUGAUCGUGGAGACCCGCAUUGACUCGGAGGUGUACAAGACGGCCCGGGCCCUGCGCAUCGUGCGCUUCACCAAGAUCCUGAGCCUGCUCCGGCUGCUGAGGCUCUCCCGGCUCAUCCGCUACAUCCACCAGUGGGAGGAGAUCUUCCACAUGACCUACGAUCUGGCCAGUGCCGUGGUGAGGAUCGUGAACCUCAUUGGGAUGAUGCUGCUGCUGUGCCACUGGGACGGCUGCCUCCAGUUCCUGGUGCCGAUGCUGCAGGACUUCCCCGACGACUGCUGGGUGUCCCUGAACCGCAUGGUGAACGACUCCUGGGGGAAGCAGUAUUCCUACGCCCUGUUCAAGGCCAUGAGCCACAUGCUGUGCAUCGGCUACGGGCAGCAGGCGCCCGUGGGCAUGUCGGACGUGUGGCUCACCAUGCUCAGCAUGAUCGUGGGGGCCACCUGCUACGCCAUGUUCAUCGGCCACGCCACCGCCCUCAUCCAGUCCCUGGACUCCUCCCGCCGCCAGUACCAGGAGAAGUACAAACAGGUGGAGCAGUACAUGUCCUUCCACAAGCUCCCGGCAGACAUGCGGCAGCGCAUCCACGACUACUACGAGCACCGGUACCAGGGGAAGAUGUUUGAUGAGGAGAGCAUCCUGGGGGAGCUGAGCGAGCCCCUGCGAGAGGAAAUCAUAAACUUCAACUGCCGGAAGCUGGUGGCCUCCAUGCCCCUGUUUGCCAACGCAGACCCCAACUUCGUGACGUCCAUGCUGACCAAGCUGCGGUUCGAGGUGUUCCAGCCGGGCGACUACAUCAUCCGGGAGGGCACCAUCGGCAAGAAGAUGUACUUCAUCCAGCACGGCGUGGUCAGCGUCCUCACCAAGGGCAACAAGGAGACCAAGCUGGCCGACGGAUCCUACUUCGGAGAGAUCUGCCUGCUGACGCGGGGCCGGCGCACGGCCAGCGUGCGAGCCGACACCUACUGCCGCCUGUACUCCCUGUCCGUGGACAACUUCAACGAGGUGCUGGAGGAGUACCCCAUGAUGCGCAGGGCUUUUGAAACCGUGGCUCUGGACAGGCUGGACAGAAUUGGCAAGAAGAAUUCCAUUCUGCUGCAUAAAGUCCAGCAUGACCUGAAUUCGGGUGUUUUCAACUACCAGGAGAAUGAGAUCAUCCAGCAGAUCGUGCAGCACGACAGGGAGAUGGCUCACUGUGCUCACAAUGUCCAGGCUGCCGCCGCCGCCGCCUCCACACCCACCCCGGUCAUCUGGACCCCGCUGAUCCAGGCCCCCCUCCAGGCUGCAGCAGCCACCACGUCCGUGGCCAUCGCCCUGACCCACCACCCCCGGCUCCCCACAGCCAUCUUCCGUCCACCCGUGUCCGUCCUGGGCUCCCUGGGGCAGCAAUCCAACCAGACUCCCAGGCAGCUGAAAAGAUUUCAAUCCCUAAUCCCAUCAACCGGCCCCUCUGCCGUCGGCUCUCCCUCCAGUACUCCAUCCCAGCUGCACACACCCGGAGCAGAAACCCCCUCGUCCUCUUCCUUCCACAUCCAGCAGCUCGCAGGGUUCUCGGCUGCCGCUGGCUUAGGCCAGUUCCAGGUGGGAUCCCCUCCAGGUGGCUCAAGCCAGCCGGGUUUGAGCAGCACCUCCUCGGUGGGACUGAGCCAGUUCCAAAACGCACCUUCUGGAUCACCCUUAGGUGCAGCUCAGCCGGUGCAGCAGCAGCAGCAACAGCAGCAACAGCAGCAGCAACAGCAGCAGCAGCAGCAGCAGCAGCAGCAGCAGCAGCAGCAGCCAGCCCUUUCCAGCAGUGGAUUUGGGCACUUCCAGCAAGCCACAACCAGCUCCCCAUCGACAUCCCUCACCCAGCUCUCAUCAAACUCACCCCCCAGUCUUCUCAACCAGUUCCAGCCAACCACCAGACCACUGCAGGGGGGACAGUUACAGCAGCUCUCGGGCAGUGGGACUUUGGGGGGAAUGAAUCACUUCCAACCCCCUCCUUCUUCCAACUCUCCAUCCUCCAGUCUAAGCCAGCUGGCACAGGCCUCAGGUGGGCCGUCCUCAGGCCUGUGCCAAACACAUCCAAGUGCAUUAGGAUCUUUAACUGGAACGAUAGCCCAGCUCCACCAAGAACGGCCUCCCUUUGCCUCCGUGUCUCCACUACAACAGUCUGGUGUCGCCUCUCCCUCUUACACCCCUUCUGGCCUUAGUCCUCCCAGUCAGAGCCCAGUGGCUACAAGAACUUUCCAGAGUGGCCCUGCCGGGCCCACAGGCUCUCACGGCUCGCUGCUGCUGCCCCAGCCUGCCAGCCCCCCUCCGCAGAUCCUGCAGGCCAAGGGCACGGCGCCGGUGCCGGUGCCGCCGGGACGGCUCAACCAGGACAUCAAGCUGAUCUCUGCUUCCCAGCCAUCUCUGCCCCAGGAGCUGGCGCAGACACUGGGCCACAGUUCUCCUCAUUCCUCUAAAGAAUCUGUUUCCAGCUUCUCUCCUUUUCCUGGAGGAGGGACUGGACUUCUGGGGAAGCCUUGUAGCUCGAUCCCCGGGCGUGUGACUUUGCCGCGGCAGAUGUCCUCAGGGUCUUUGCCACACCCGCUGGUGUUCGGGGCCGGCGCUGCUCCUCUGACUGCUGGUGGGCGCAAAGAAUCCAUAGUGCUCACAGGGGAUCUGGAGCCCGUCAGAUCCAAACUGCCCUCCAAUUUGUGAGGACUCCUCCCGAGAGCUGGUUAUGUCAGCCCUGCAGUUCAGUUCCUGAUUAGUUCAUGAAGCAUUUUUUUUUUCCCUUUCCUUCCCCCCCCACCCCGCACCCGCUUUGUUUUCUCCAUUUCAUUUGUUUAGGUUUAACUGUGCUUAGAAACAAAGAAAAACACAUGAAAAACAACAACAACAAAAAAAAGAAGAUAACCAGGUAUUCUUAGAGUUAUAGAUUUUUGGUCACUUGAUUUUAUAGAAUAUUUUAAUACAUGGAACAAAAGGAUAUAAGCAAAUUUAAUCCAACGAGGUAACGCACAGGCGAGGCGUGUGCCUGAGCUGGAACAUGUGAAUGAUCAGCCAUAGAAGCCACCAAAAAAAGGUUUUCCUGUUGAGACAAAGAUCCGAGGUUGACGUGGGCUGUAGGAGGUGACAUCAGGUCGGGUCUGUUGCUGGUGUUUUAGGACAGCCCUGGUUGGCCUCAGCUGUGACCCUGGUCCGCAGCACCUGGUUCUGGGGGUCGUGGAUGGCCCACUGUGAGCACCAGAAGGUGUCCCUUCCUCCCAUGUUCCCUCCUGUGUUCAGAUUGCAGAGCAAGCGAGAAGAGGGGGGAGUUUCAUUAUUCCAGACCCCUCUAGGGAUUUCCCAAGGGCCAAGUUUUGGUUUGGACUCCACUUGAAGAAGAUGAAGGUGACCAGCAGGUGGACGGGCCUCACUCAGAUUGUCUCUUUCUGACUCCACUGAUGCUCUGAUGGGAACAAGGAGCAGUCUCUUGUAGGUCACAAGGAGGGCAGUGAUUAUCCCCUCUGUAUUUUUGUCAUGGAUGUGGGCAGUGGGAAAAAUCUUGGCUCUGCCAGCACACCAGGCAGUGACCUCAGCUGGCACAAAGGCCCAAACUUCAGCGUCUCCGUGGUUUGGAAAGUGUGUGUGCAAAGCCAGAGGAGGGAUGGAGAAGGAAAGCACCUGAACCUUCCCCCUGUCACGUUACUGUCUCAGUGUCCAUGGGCUGACUGCUUUGAAGAGAACUAGAAAAGGACUGAGCAGUGGGGUGCAGUCACCCACCCCUGCCCUCCUCCUCCUCAGACUAGAGGAGUUUGAGCUUUGAGGCACCCAGAGUAGUUCUGGUGCCCAGCCAAGAAUCCUCCAGAUUUGCAACUCUGUUUUCACCACUCACACCAGAUUAGACCAGAGAUUUGGCCAGCCAUGGUCUGUGCUUCCCCCCUGCCGGGGGGUCCGAAAUCCUGCGUUUGAUUUCACCAGCAAUAAGAGCUGCACCCGAUGGGCUUUGGCCUGGCCCUGCAGCUGCAGCGUCACUGGACACACCUGGGGCCUGGCAGGCACCUGGAGCUGGAGUUUUUGGGCUCCCCUAAGGCAGUCAGAGUGGGAUGAGGGCAUGAGGGGCCGCUGGGUGCACACUGAGAAGAUGCAGCCUUUACCUCUAGAGUGAAUGUCUCCUUUUUUGUUACUUUGAUCCUUUCUCUGUUUCAGUCUCUUAGGCCAAGAGGUGUCUACACCUCACUGUAAGAGUCAGGUGCUCAACUUUUCUAACCCUUGUUAGAAAGACAUCCAGCCUCCCUCUGUUUCCAGCUAUCAUGGGGUCCCCAGAGGGAAAGCAGGACUUCAUGCAGCAGUGCCAAAAACUUAUCCCAGUAAUGAUAUAGGUCCCUCAAACUCCCUCUCUGACCUCCUCCCACCCCCAAAACACUGGCUGACAGUUGUUUUUUAUACUGAAUUGUUUGCAAAACUCUUUGACAUGUGCCUGUAUCUCGAAUGUUGCUGCAGCAUUCCUGGGCACUCCUGCUUCAACGUGCUUUGGUGGCUCAGAAUUCAGAUGUAAUCAGCUUUGGUCUUCCUUAAAGGGUCAGGGGAACUCUAGAAAUGUUUUUUCUACUAGCUACAUACACCUAUAUAUGUGUGAGUGUGUGUGGUGGGAGGGAUGCAUGUGUGUGUGUGUGUGUGUGUGUUUGUAUAGAUUUUAUAUAUCUAUCUAUAUAUACACACAUGCUUUUAUAUAUAUAGUAUAGUUAUACACCUAUGUAGUCUAUUUAUGCACACAUGUAAGCACACACACACACACACACACAUUUAUAUAUAUAUAUAUAUAUAUCCUAGUUUUAAAAUACAUGUCAAUUUUGACCCUCCUGUAGGACUGAUUGGCAGGUGAUAAUUAUAAUCUAUAGAUCCUGCUUUUCCAAAUAUGUACAGGUUCAUCUUGAAACAGGAAUUGAAGCAGACUCACAGACCCUCUCAUAUUUUCAAAGAUGUGUGUACGAAAUCCUUCACGUUAAUGGCAGACAUGGCAACUCUGGCUGACUGUGUGAUCCGUGGAGAAGGGCCCAAGGAGCAGGAUGCAGAUGUGAACAACCUGGAACAGGGACUGCCACAGGAAGCAGACAAAGCAGGGAGGAAGGAAGCAGCAGUUUCCAGGUCUCAGACUAAGCUGGAUGGUGAUGCCAAGGUCAGGAGCUGAUGUAUUUUAGGAAGCUUUGCAGCCCAGGACUGAAGACCCCACCUCAUCUCUAGGGGAAGAUGAAGUUACAGGAGGUGGAGGCACUGACAGCCAGCCUAAAAUGAAAAAGGGACACAGCCUGUGGCAGCCCAGCCUUGCCCUGCCUGCAGCCUGCUGAGGGGGUCAGGAUGAUGCUCCCAAGGACACAAGUGACCGGGAAAGUGGCUGAUGACCAGUGGGAGUCCCCAGUGUGAGAGAAGGAGGCUGGAGUCAGCAUGGAGCAACAUGGAUACCCAUCACUGCACUUCAAAAGGUACAGACAAAGCACUCUAUUCCAUGAUUAUAGUAUUAUUUUUCAUGAUUUACCAGUUUACUAAGGCUACUAAAAUGUCCUUUCCCUGAUGUGAACCCCUUCCUUCUCUACUUGCUUAUUAAAAGGUGGUAUUUUUUACCAUGGAGCUUUGAAAUAGAAGGAAGGCAGAGGUUACAUGUUCAGUUACACGCACAAAGACUGAGGGAGAGUAACAAUUUUCCUCUUCCUUCUCUGGAGGACACAACCUACCAACCCACAGCAACAAAAAGGGCAAGUAAAAUUCCAAACCUGGUCCCUGUAUCGAUUAGGAAUAAUUAAACAAACUCUCCAAGCAGCCCAGAAUUUGAUU